UGGGGAAUUUUGGACAAUGGGCGAAAGCCUGAUCCAGCAAUGCCGCGUGUGUGAAGAAGGCCUUCGGGUUGUAAAGCACUUUUGUCCGGAAAGAAAUCCUUGGCUCUAAUACAGUCGGGGGAUGACGGUACCGGAAGAAUAAGCACCGGCUAACUACGUGCCAGCAGCCGCGGUAAUACGUAGGGUGCAAGCGUUAAUCGGAAUUACUGGGCGUAAAGCGUGCGCAGGCGGUUUGCUAAGACCGAUGUGAAAUCCCCGGGCUCAACCUGGGAACUGCAUUGGUGACUGGCAGGCUAGAGUAUGGCAGAGGGGGGUAGAAUUCCACGUGUAGCAGUGAAAUGCGUAGAGAUGUGGAGGAAUACCGAUGGCGAAGGCAGCCCCCUGGGCCAAUACUGACGCUCAUGCACGAAAGCGUGGGGAGCAAACAGGAUUAGAUACCCUGGUAGUCCACGCCCUAAACGAUGUCAACUAGUUGUGGGAUUCAUUCCUUAGUAACGUAGCUAACGCGUGAAGUUGACCGCCUGGGGAGUACGGUCGC
This 538-nucleotide ribosomal RNA is filed under the name uncultured bacterium. RNAcentral's name for it is "partial 16S ribosomal RNA". It matches the Rfam family "Bacterial small subunit ribosomal RNA", at positions 355 to 889 of the family's 1533-position model. The record is from RNAcentral.